CCUACGGGUGGCAGCAGUGGGGAAUAUUGCGCAAUGGACGAAAGUCUGACGCAGCGACGCCGCGUGAGGGAUGAAGGUUUUCGGAUCGUAAACCUCUGUCAGGAGGGAAGAAAGCGCAUGGCGCCAAUCAGCCAUGCGUUGAUUGUAUCUCCAAAGGAAGCGCCGGCUAACUCCGUGCCAGCAGCCGCGGUAAUACGGAGGGCGCGAGCGUUAAUCGGAUUUACUGGGCGUAAAGCGCGCGUAGGUGGUUGUUUAAGUUUGGGGUGAAAUCGCACGGCUCAACCGUGGAACAGCCCUUGAUACUGGGCGACUUGAAUCCGGGAGAGGGUGGCGGAAUUCGAGGUGUAGGAGUGAAAUCCGUAGAUAUCUGGAAGAACAUCGGUGGCGAAGGCAGCCACCUGGACCGGUAUUGACGCUGAGGCGCGAAAGCGUGGGGAGCAAACAGGAUUAGAUACCCCAGUAGUC
RNAcentral lists this ribosomal RNA (465 nucleotides) under uncultured bacterium. RNAcentral's name for it is "partial 16S ribosomal RNA". It matches the Rfam family "Bacterial small subunit ribosomal RNA", at positions 338 to 795 of the family's 1533-position model. The record is from RNAcentral.